CGGAAGGUCCGGGCGUUAUCCGGAUUUAUUGGGUUUAAAGGGAGCGUAGGCCGGAGAUUAAGCGUGUUGUGAAAUUGUAGACGCUCAACGUCUGCACUGCAGCGCGAACUGGUUUCCUUGAGUACGCACAAAGUGGGCGGAAUUCGUGGUGUAGCGGUGAAAUGCUUAGAUAUCACGAAGAACAUCCGAUUGCGAACGGC
This 200-nucleotide ribosomal RNA is filed under the name uncultured bacterium. Its description in RNAcentral is "partial 16S ribosomal RNA". It matches the Rfam family "Bacterial small subunit ribosomal RNA", at positions 526 to 722 of the family's 1533-position model. The record is from RNAcentral.